GACGAACGCUGGCGGCGUGCUUAACACAUGCAAGUCGAACGGAAAGGCCCUGCUUUUGUGGGGUGCUCGAGUGGCGAACGGGUGAGUAACACGUGAGUAACCUGCCCUUGACUUUGGGAUAACUUCAGGAAACUGGGGCUAAUACCGGAUAGGAGCUCCUGCACCGUGGUGUUGGUUGGAAAGUUUCGGCGGUUGGGGAUGGAUUCGCGGCUUACCCGCUUGUUGGGGUGGUAGGUGCUUACCAAGGCUUUGACGGGUAGCCGGCCUGGGAGAGUGACCGGCGACAUGAGGCCUGAGAUACGGCCCAGUCUCCUACGGGAGGCAGCAGUCGGGAAUAUUGCGCAGUGGGCGGAAGCCUGAUGCAGCAACGCCGCGUGCGGGAUGACGGCCUUCGGGUUGUAAACCGCUUUCGCCUGUGACGAAGCGUGAGUGACGGUAAUGGGUAAAGAAGCACCGGCUAACUACGUG
This 468-nucleotide ribosomal RNA is filed under the name uncultured bacterium. Its description in RNAcentral is "partial 16S ribosomal RNA". It matches the Rfam family "Bacterial small subunit ribosomal RNA", at positions 28 to 507 of the family's 1533-position model. The record is from RNAcentral.